AGAGUUUGAUCCUGGCUCAGGACGAACGCUGGCGGCACGCUUAACACAUGCAAGUCGAACGAGAGAGGAGGAGCUUGCUUUUCUGAUCUAGUGGCGGACGGGUGAAUAACACGUGAGCAAUCUGCCUUUCAGAGGGGGAUACCGAUUGGAAACGAUCGUUAAUACCGCAUAACAUAAUUGAACCGCAUGAUUUGAUUAUCAAAGAUUUAUCGCUGAAAGAUGAGCUCGCGUCUGAUUAGCUAGUUGGUAAGGUAACGGCUUACCAAGGCGACGAUCAGUAGCCGGACUGAGAGGUUGAUCGGCCACAUUGGGACUGAGACACGGCCCAGACUCCUACGGGAGGCAGCAGUGGGGAAUAUUGCACAAUGGAGGAAACUCUGAUGCAGCGAUGCCGCGUGAGGGAAGAAGGUUUUAGGAUUGUAAACCUCUGUCUUCAGGGACGAAAAAAGACGGUACCUGAGGAGGAAGCUCCGGCUAACUACGUGCCAGCAGCCGCGGUAAUACGUAGGGAGCGAGCGUUGUCCGGAAUUACUGGGUGUAAAGGGAGCGUAGGCGGGAUCGCAAGUCAGAUGUGAAAACUAUGGGCUUAACCCAUAAACUGCAUUUGAAACUGUGGUUCUUGAGUGAAGUAGAGGUAAGCGGAAUUCCUAGUGUAGCGGUGAAAUGUGUAGAUAUUAGGAGGAACAUCAGUGGCGAAGGCGGCUUACUGGGCUUUAACUGACGCUGAGGCUCGAAAGCGUGGGGAGCAAACAGGAUUAGAUACCCUGGUAGUCCACGCCGUAAACGAUGAUUACUAGGUGUGGGGGGACUGACCCCUUCCGUGCCGCAGCAAACGCAAUAAGUAAUCCACCUGGGGAGUACGACCGCAAGGUUGAAACUCAAAGGAAUUGACGGGGGCCCGCACAAGCAGUGGAGUAUGUGGAUUAAUUCGAAGCAACGCGAAGAACCUUACCAGGUCUUGACAUCGUAUGCGUAGCUCAGAGAUGAGUGAAAUCUCUUCGGAGACAUAUAGACAGGUGGUGCAUGGUUGUCGUCAGCUCGUGUCGUGAGAUGUUGGGUUAAGUCCCGCAACGAGCGCAACCCUUACUGUUAGUUGCUACGCAAGAGCACUCUAGCAGGACUGCCGUUGACAAAACGGAGGAAGGUGGGGAUGACGUCAAAUCAUCAUGCCCCUUAUGACCUGGGCCUCACACGUACUACAAUGGCUGUCAACAGAGGGAAGCAAAGCCGCGAGGUGGAGCGAACCCUUAAAAGCAGUCUUAGUUCGGAUUGUAGGCUGCAACCCGCCUACAUGAAGUCGGAAUUGCUAGUAAUCGCAGAUCAGCAUGCUGCGGUGAAUACGUUCCCGGGCCUUGUACACACCGCCCGUCACGCCAUGGGAGUCGGUAACACCCGAAGCCUGUAGUCUAACCGCAAGGAGGACGCAGUCGAAGGUGGGAUUGAUGACUGGGGUGAAGUCGUAACAAGGUA
RNAcentral lists this ribosomal RNA (1470 nucleotides) under metagenome. Its description in RNAcentral is "bacterial SSU rRNA". It matches the Rfam family "Bacterial small subunit ribosomal RNA". The record is from RNAcentral.